RNAcentral lists this transfer RNA (77 nucleotides) under Nitrososphaerota archaeon. Its description in RNAcentral is "tRNA-Tyr". It matches the Rfam family "tRNA". Rfam says of the family: Transfer RNA (tRNA) molecules are approximately 80 nucleotides in length. Their secondary structure includes four short double-helical elements and three loops (D, anti-codon, and T loops). The record is from RNAcentral. Lineage: Archaea; Thermoproteati; Nitrososphaerota.
CCCGCGGUAGCUCAGCCUGGUAGAGCUUCCGGCUGUAGACCGGAGUGUCGGGUGCUCAAAUCACCCCCGCGGGACCA